Molecule: non-coding RNA, 107 nt
Filed under: Latilactobacillus fuchuensis
Lineage: Bacteria; Bacillati; Bacillota; Bacilli; Lactobacillales; Lactobacillaceae
Description: Lactobacillus fuchuensis TPP sequence
Rfam family: TPP riboswitch aptamer (THI element)
About the family: Vitamin B(1) in its active form thiamin pyrophosphate (TPP) is an essential coenzyme that is synthesised by coupling of pyrimidine and thiazole moieties in bacteria. The previously detected thiamin-regulatory element, thi box was extended, resulting in a new, highly conserved RNA secondary structure, the THI element, which is widely distributed in eubacteria and also occurs in some archaea.
Source: RNAcentral
GCUUUGCACUAGGGGUGUUCUUUAGAAGAACUGAGAUAGAUUGAUUCAAUCUAAUCCCUUCGAACCUGUAAGUUCAGACUUGCGUAGGAAAGUGCUCCCUUGCUUAU